CUAUUGCUCGGGUUAGGGAUUGACGUGGAAAUCCUUUUUGUGAAGUAUGAAUGAAAAGAUUGUAACAAAAAGCCCGACCGCGC
RNAcentral lists this small RNA (83 nucleotides) under Tenacibaculum soleae. Its description in RNAcentral is "Flavo-1 RNA". It matches the Rfam family "Flavo-1 RNA". The record is from Rfam by way of RNAcentral. Lineage: Bacteria; Pseudomonadati; Bacteroidota; Flavobacteriia; Flavobacteriales; Flavobacteriaceae.